Molecule: small nucleolar RNA, 75 nt
Organism: Acomys russatus (golden spiny mouse)
Lineage: Eukaryota; Metazoa; Chordata; Mammalia; Rodentia; Muridae
Product: small nucleolar RNA SNORD26
Exons: 1
Source: RefSeq, a predicted model, not a curated record
CCACAGGGAUGAUUUGAAAGUUGAACUCUCUCUUUCUGAUGGUGUAGUGGAGAGAAACUGAGGAGUCUGAGUAGC